GGAGGGGGCUAGCGUUGUUCGGAUUUACUGGGCGUAAAGCGCACGUAGGCGGAUCGAUCAGUCAGGGGUGAAAGGCCUGGGCUCAACCCGGGAACUGCCUNNGAUACUGUCGAUCUUGAAUCCGGGAGAGGUAAGCGGAANUCCAAGUGUACAGGUGAAAUNCGUACAUAUUUGGAAGAACACCAGUGGCGAAGGCGGCUUACUGGACCGGUAUUGACGCUGAUGUGCNAAAGCGUGGGGAGCGAACAGGAUUAGAUACCCUGCUAGUCCACGCCGUAAACGAUGAGUGCUAGUUGUCNGGGGUUCGGCCUUUGGUGACCCACCUAACGCCUUAANCACUCCGCCUGGGGAGUACCGCCGCAAGGUUAAAACUCAAAGGAAUUGACCGGGGCCGCACAAGCGGUGGAGCAUGUGGUUUAAUUCGAAGCAACGCGAAGAACCUUACCAGCUCUUGACAUACCAAUCGCGAUUGGGAGACCCCUUUCCUUCAGUUCGGCUGGAUUGGAUACAGGUGCUGCAUGGCUGUCGUCAGCUCGUGUCGUGAGAUUGUUGGUUAAGUCCCGCAACGAGCGCAACCCUGCCCUUAGUUACCAUCAUUAAGUUGGGUACUCUAGGGGACUGCCGGUGACAAGCCGGAGGAAGGUGGGGAUGACGUCAAGUCAUCAUCCGGUUACGGGCUGGGCUACACACGUGCUACAAUGGCGGUGACAGUGGGCAGCGAUGGGGCGACCCUGAGCUAAUCUCCAAAAACCGUCUCAGUUCGGAUUGUUCUCUGCAACUCGAGAGCAUGAAGUCGGAAUCGCUAGUAAUCGCGUAUCAGCAUGACGCGGUGAAUACGUUCCCGGGCCUU
RNAcentral lists this ribosomal RNA (850 nucleotides) under unidentified marine eubacterium. Its description in RNAcentral is "bacterial SSU rRNA". It matches the Rfam family "Bacterial small subunit ribosomal RNA", at positions 527 to 1382 of the family's 1533-position model. The record is from RNAcentral.